AUCAUAGCAAAGAAUGUGACACAAAGGUUAACCCACGGACGGAAGAGCUCCAGACUGAAUGGAUGAUGUUAUGUUUAGUGAUAACUGAAUGGUUAUAUGAUAGUCACGUUGCAGAACUAUUAGCAUUAAAUCAACGUCAUCCUGUUUUCAAAUUGAAGGGAUAUCUACGCGUAAAUAGAUCGUAGAGUUCUUGAUUAAAACGACCUACGGGGUAGAAUUGCUUCAAUCUUCUUUUCUAAGCUGUAAGCAUUGCCAGAAUACGCGAGAGGCUGUUAAACUCGACGACAUCACUCUCGCAUUAAUCCCAAUGGAGAGAACCGAACGGGGAAAGCCGUUUGAUCUUUACGAACCAGCCGACGUCAUGUACGAACCCCACUUGGUUGCUCCGCCCCAGGAACGGCCGCGCAGCACUCGGUCCCACUCACUCAAGUCGAUGAGUCAACCUAACCUUCUUACACCACGUACUAAACGACUCUACAGUCUCCCCUCCAGACCUGUUAUUCCACCUCACAUUACCAUACAAGGCUGCCAUGACAACAAGGACAGUCAUAGCGAAGAAGAAGAGCCAAGUUGUGAGUGCAGUAAUGACAGCAUGGCAUGGUACACGCCAGUUGUUGGAUUAUCCUGCAGUCUUGUGAUAUAUGCCUGGUCAUGCGCACUCGCCUAUUACUCUACAACGUGACGUUCUGGAUCAGGAAAGAGAGAGGGGAAUGCAGUGUGAUGUGAAAGCGCAGAUUUGGUACGGAUGCCAGAAAUAAACCCGAGUAGAUGAAAAAUGGUUUAUCAGGAAAUGGAGUCGUGCCGAAAUCGAAAUUCAUUGACGCAAACCUUCACUGCACUCAGGAGUGAAAAUAGAUCACUAAACGAGAGAUAAAAGAUAUGAACCUAGCUACCGAGAAAAAUGAAAAGAAUUACAUGUUCUUGAUAUUAUUAGUAGGCAUAAGGUUGUAAUAAGUCAUUGGCAAAGUGCAAAAGCUCCGAGCAAUAUUAAACAUGAGAUUUCUGUAACACUUCUACUGUUUUUUGCUUCACAUAUAGAAUGUUUAUUGGAACUUACCAGCACUUUACACACAGCGACUAAGUGUGACGUGGACUUCUUUGCAUGAAGACCUGUUUACUGAGGAGUUUUGACAGUAGACAUAAUAAAGUUGACAUGAUAAUUUC
Orbicella faveolata is the source of this 1164-nucleotide long non-coding RNA. The record is from RefSeq and is a predicted model, not a curated record. NCBI's taxonomy places the organism in Eukaryota, Metazoa, Cnidaria, Anthozoa, Scleractinia, Merulinidae.